This is a long non-coding RNA of Paramormyrops kingsleyae, 479 nucleotides long. RefSeq lists it as uncharacterized. NCBI's taxonomy places the organism in Eukaryota, Metazoa, Chordata, Actinopteri, Osteoglossiformes, Mormyridae. The record is from RefSeq and is a predicted model, not a curated record.
CUCCCAGCGCCACUCGAACAGGUGGACGAUGGCCGUGCGGCCGUCCUUGAAAUGCGGGUCGUACUGAGCCGCGCUCAGCCCGAAGAUCGCUGCCAGAAGUAGGAGCUUCAUCCUCACCUGUCGAUUGGAUGGAGACCAGCUCCAUCUCAUCCAGGGGCAGCUCCAGAGAAUUUCUACUGCUGGUGCUACUGGGUGGAUGGUGACCGUAGUCCCCUGAUCCCCGUGCCGUUGCCCUGCCACUAGAGUAUUAACGGCAAGAAUGGAGUCACUUCUCCUGUCACCUUGUCACCUCGUCAGACAGUGACUGAAAAGAGGCAUUUUGAAAGAGACUCCAACCCAUCAAAAGCAUUCUGGUUUAAAGGCAUGAAGGAUUCAAUGCUUUUAAACCAUAUAGUCAUAUUCCAGAAGCUUUUCUGACCAUACAUCACAAAUGUGACUUUAUAUUUUACAUACUCAAUAAUAAACUUCUCCUAAACAUC